RNAcentral lists this ribosomal RNA (493 nucleotides) under uncultured bacterium. RNAcentral's name for it is "bacterial SSU rRNA". It matches the Rfam family "Bacterial small subunit ribosomal RNA", at positions 8 to 507 of the family's 1533-position model. The record is from RNAcentral.
AGAGUUUGAUCAUGGCUCAGAUGAACGUUGGCGGCGUGGAUUAGGCAUGCAAGUCGUACGCAUAGCUUCGGCUAUGAGUGGCGCAAGGGUGAGUAAUGCGAAGGUAACCAACCCUGGUGUUGGGCAUAGCCGCGGGAAACUGCGGGUAAUUCCCAGCGACGUCACGAGAUGGCAUCAUCUUGUGACCAAAGGUGUGAUUCCGCUCUAGGACGGGCCUUCGUGGUAUUAGGUAGUUGGUGAGGUAACGGCUCACCAAGCCGACGAUGCCUACCGGGUGUGAGAGCAUGACCCGGCACACUGGAACUGAGACACUGUCCAGACACCUACGGGUGGCUGCAGUCGAGAAUCUUCGGCAAUGGGCGAAAGCCUGACCGAGCGACGCCGCGUGAGGGAUUGAAGGCCUUCGGGUUGUAAACCUCUUUCGUAGAGGAGGAAGGGGCCGUGAAGAACGGUCUUUGACCUAUUCUAGGAAGAAGCUUGGGCUAAGUUCGUG